UCGUCAUGGAAGAUAAUCCUUACCUGCUCCUUCUUUGGAGGGAAGAUUAGAACAUGAUGAUUGGAGAAAAAAAUUACAGAUACAAAUAUAUGCACAGGCAGAU
Pteropus alecto (black flying fox) is the source of this 103-nucleotide non-coding RNA. The record is from Rfam. NCBI's taxonomy places the organism in Eukaryota, Metazoa, Chordata, Mammalia, Chiroptera, Pteropodidae.